RNAcentral lists this ribosomal RNA (332 nucleotides) under uncultured bacterium. RNAcentral describes it as "bacterial SSU rRNA". It matches the Rfam family "Bacterial small subunit ribosomal RNA", at positions 568 to 898 of the family's 1533-position model. The record is from RNAcentral.
CGUGUAGGCGGUCGGGUAAGUCAGAUGUGAAAGCCUUCCGCUCAACGGAAGAAGUGCAUUUGAAACUGCUCGGCUGGAGUACGGGAGAGGAGAGUGGAGUUCCCGGUGUAGAGGUGAAAUUCGUAGAUAUCGGGAGGAACACCAGUGGCGAAGGCGGCUCUCUGGUCCGAUACUGACGCUGAGACGCGAAAGCGUGGGGAGCAAACAGGAUUAGAUACCCUGGUAGUCCACGCCGUAAACGAUGGGCACUAGGUGUAGGAGGUAUUGACCCCUUCUGUGCCGAAGUUAACGCAUUAAGUGCCCCGCCUGGGGAGUACGGCCGCAAGGCUAAA